UACGGGGGGGGCAAGCGUUGUUCGGAAUUACUGGGCGUAAAGGGCUCGUAGGCGGCCAACUAAGUCGGAUGUGAAAUCCCCAGGCUUAACCUGGGAACUGCUUCCGAAACUGCUGUGCUUGAGUGUGGGAGAGGCGCGUGGAAUUGCAGGUGUAGCGGUGAAAUGCGUAGAUAUCUGCAGGAACACCCGUGGCGAAAGCGGCGCGCUGGACCACUACUGACGCUGAGGAACGAAAGCUAGGGGAGCAAACAGG
Molecule: ribosomal RNA, 253 nt
Filed under: uncultured bacterium
Lineage: Bacteria
Description: partial 16S ribosomal RNA
Rfam family: Bacterial small subunit ribosomal RNA
Source: RNAcentral